AAACUUUACAAUGCAGGCAACUGCGAUAAGGGAACAUCGAGUGAUACUCAUAAUGGGUGUCUGUCCAGCUGUCUAAAAAACAGCUGUUAGCAAGGGCCGGGCAAGACCGGUGCCAGCCGCCGCGGUAAUACCGGCGGCUCGAGUGGUGGCCGAUAUUAUUGAGUCUAAAGGGUCCGUAGCCGGCUUUGCAAGUCUUGUGGGAAAUCCAGCGGCUUAACCGUUGGGCGUCCGCGAGAUACUACAUUGCUUGGGACUGGGAGAGGUAAGAGGUACUCAGGGGGUAGGAGUGAAAUCCUGUAAUCCUUUGGGGACCACCGGUGGCGAAGGCGUCUUACCAGAACAGGUCCGACGGUGAGGGACGAAAGCUAGGGGCACGAACCGG
Molecule: ribosomal RNA, 382 nt
Filed under: uncultured archaeon
Lineage: Archaea
Description: bacterial SSU rRNA
Rfam family: Archaeal small subunit ribosomal RNA
Source: RNAcentral